RNAcentral lists this transfer RNA (72 nucleotides) under Mortierella sp. AD010. RNAcentral describes it as "tRNA-Thr". It matches the Rfam family "tRNA". From Rfam's summary of the family: Transfer RNA (tRNA) molecules are approximately 80 nucleotides in length. Lineage: Eukaryota; Fungi; Mortierellomycota; Mortierellomycetes; Mortierellales; Mortierellaceae. The record is from RNAcentral. RNAcentral also lists the same sequence under 1 other name.
GUCAGAUUAGUUUAAUGGUAAAACCCAUGAUUUGUAAUCAUCGAAAUGUUUGUUCGAAUCAGACAUCUGGCA